RNAcentral lists this ribosomal RNA (314 nucleotides) under uncultured eukaryote. RNAcentral describes it as "partial 18S ribosomal RNA". It matches the Rfam family "Eukaryotic small subunit ribosomal RNA", at positions 1470 to 1796 of the family's 1831-position model. The record is from RNAcentral.
CCCCUAGAUGUUCUGGGCCGCACGCGCGCUACACUGAACAGUUCAACAAGUCUUAACCUUGGCCGAUAGGUCUGGGUAAUCUUUGAACGCUGUUCGUGAUUGGGAUAGACCUUUGCAAUUAUGGGUCUUCAACGAGGAAUUCCUAGUAAACGCAAGUCAUCAGCUUGCAUUGAUUACGUCCCUGCCCUUUGUACACACCGCCCGUCGCUCCUACCGAUUGAAUGGUCCGGUGAAGCCUCCGGAUUGGCGCGCACCUCGGUGCCGCCGAGAAGUUGGCUAAACCUUACCAUUUAGAGGAAGGUGAAGUCGUANCA